This 547-nucleotide ribosomal RNA is filed under the name uncultured bacterium. RNAcentral describes it as "bacterial SSU rRNA". It matches the Rfam family "Bacterial small subunit ribosomal RNA", at positions 355 to 896 of the family's 1533-position model. The record is from RNAcentral.
UGGGGAAUAUUGCGCAAUGGGGGGAACCCUGACGCAGCCAUGCCGCGUGAAUGAAGAAGGCCUUAGGGUUGUAAAGUCCCUUCGGUAUUGAGGAAGGUUGAUGUGUUAAUAGCACAUCAAAUUGACGUUAAAUACAGAAGAAGCACCGGCUAACUCCGUGCCAGCAGCCGCGGUAAUACGGAGGGUGCGAGCGUUAAUCGGAAUAACUGGGCGUAAAGGGCACGCAGGCGGUUAUUUAAGUGAGGUGUGAAAGCCCUGGGCUUAACCUAGGAAUUGCAUUUCAGACUGGGUAACUAGAGUACUUUAGGGAGGGGUAGAAUUCCACGUGUGGCGGUGAAAUGCGUAGAGAUGUGGAGGAAUACCGAAGGCGAAGGCAGCCCCUUGGGAAUGUACUGACGCUCAUGUGCGAAAGCGUGGGGAGCAAACAGGAUUAGAUACCCUGGUAGUCCACGCUGUAAACGCUGUCGAUUUGGGGGUUGGGGUUUAACUCUGGCGCCCGUAGCUAACGUGAUAAAUCGACCGCCUGGGGAGUACGGCCGCAAGGUUA